GACGAACGCUGGCGGCGUGCCUAAUACAUGCAAGUCGAACGAACUCUGGUAUUGAUUGGUGCUUGCAUCAUGAUUUACAUUUGAGUGAGUGGCGAACUGGUGAGUAACACGUGGGAAACCUGCCCAGAAGCGGGGGAUAACACCUGGAAACAGAUGCUAAUACCGCAUAACAACUUGGACCGCAUGGUCCGAGUUUGAAAGAUGGCUUCGGCUAUCACUUUUGGAUGGUCCCGCGGCGUAUUAGCUAGAUGGUGGGGUAACGGCUCACCAUGGCAAUGAUACGUAGCCGACCUGAGAGGGUAAUCGGCCACAUUGGGACUGAGACACGGCCCAAACUCCUACGGGAGGCAGCAGUAGGGAAUCUUCCACAAUGGACGAAAGUCUGAUGGAGCAACGCCGCGUGAGUGAAGAAGGGUUUCGGCUCGUAAAACUCUGUUGUUAAAGAAGAACAUAUCUGAGAGUAACUGUUCAGGUAUUGACGGUAUUUAACCAGAAAGCCACGGCUAACUACGUGCCAGCAGCCGCGGUAAUACGUAGGUGGCAAGCGUUGUCCGGAUUUAUUGGGCGUAAAGCGAGCGCAGGCGGUUUUUUAAGUCUGAUGUGAAAGCCUUCGGCUCAACCGAAGAAGUGCAUCGGAAACUGGGGAACUUGAGUGCAGAAGAGGACAGUGGAACUCCAUGUGUAGCGGUGAAAUGCGUAGAUAUAUGGAAGAACACCAGUGGCGAAAGCGGCUGUCUGGUCUGUAACUGACGCUGAGGCUCGAAAGUAUGGGUAGCAAACAGGAUUAGAUACCCUGGUAGUCCAUACCGUAAACGAUGAAUGCUAAGUGUUGGAGGGUUUCCGCCCUUCAGUGCUGCAGCUAACGCAUUAAGCAUUCCGCCUGGGGAGUACGGCCGCAAGGCUGAAACUCAAAGGAAUUGACGGGGGCCCGCACAAGCGGUGGAGCAUGUGGUUUAAUUCGAGGCUACGCGAAGAACCUUACCAGGUCUUGACAUACUAUGCAAAUCUAAGAGAUUAGACGUUCCCUUCGGGGACAUGGAUACAGGUGGUGCAUGGUUGUCGUCAGCUCGUGUCGUGAGAUGUUGGGUUAAGUCCCGCAACGAGCGCAACCCUUAUUAUCAGUUGCCGGCAUUAAGUUGGGCACUCUGGUGAGACUGCCGGUGACAAACCGGAGGAAGGUGGGGAUGACGUCAAAUCAUCAUGCCCCUUAUGACCUGGGCUACACACGUGCUACAAUGGAUGGUACAACGAGUUGCGAACUCGCGAGAGUAAGCUAAUCUCUUAAAGCCAUUCUCAGUUCGGAUUGUAGGCUGCAACUCGCCUACAUGAAGUCGGAAUCGCUAGUAAUCGCGGAUCAGCAUGCCGCGGUGAAUACGUUCCCGGGCCUUGUACACACCGCCCGUCACACCAUGAGAGUUUGUAACACCCAAAGUCGGUGGGGUAACUUUUUAGGAACCAGCCGCCUAAGGUGGGACAGAUGAUUAGGGUG
Molecule: ribosomal RNA, 1489 nt
Filed under: Lactiplantibacillus plantarum
Lineage: Bacteria; Bacillati; Bacillota; Bacilli; Lactobacillales; Lactobacillaceae
Description: bacterial SSU rRNA
Rfam family: Bacterial small subunit ribosomal RNA
Source: RNAcentral